Molecule: ribosomal RNA, 496 nt
Filed under: uncultured bacterium
Lineage: Bacteria
Description: partial 16S ribosomal RNA
Rfam family: Bacterial small subunit ribosomal RNA
Source: RNAcentral
GAUGAACGCUGGCGGCGUGCCUAAUACAUGCAAGUCGAGCGAACAGACGAGGAGCUUGCUCCUCUGACGUUAGCGGCGGACGGGUGAGUAACACGUGGAUAACCUACCUAUAAGACUGGGAUAACUUCGGGAAACCGGAGCUAAUACCGGAUAAUAUAUUGAACCGCAUGGUUCAAUAGUGAAAGACGGUUUUGCUGUCACUUAUAGAUGGAUCCGCGCCGCAUUAGCUAGUUGGUAAGGUAACGGCUUACCAAGGCAACGAUGCGUAGCCGACCUGAGAGGGUGAUCGGCCACACUGGAACUGAGACACGGUCCAGACUCCUACGGGAGGCAGCAGUAGGGAGUCUUCCGCAAUGGGCGAAAGCCUGACGGAGCAACGCCGCGUGAGUGAUGAAGGUCUUCGGAUCGUAAAACUCUGUUAUUAGGGGAGAACAAAUGUGUAAGUAACUAUGCACGUCUUGACGGUACCGAAUCAGAAAGCCACGGCUAACUACGU